GAUGAAGAACGCAGCGAAAUGCGAUAAGUAAUGUGAAUUGCAGAAUUCAGUGAAUCAUCGAAUCUUUGAACGCACCUUGCGCCCUUUGGCCAUUCCGAAGGGCAUGCCUGUUUGAGUAUCAUGAACACCUCAACUCUUCAUGGUUUUCCGUGAUGAGCUUGGACUUUGGGGGUCUUGCUGGCCUAUGGUCAGCUCCUCUAAAAUAAAUCAGCUUGCCAGUGUUUGGUGGGUAUCACAGGUGUGAUAACUAUCUACGCUUGUGGUUUUCCACCAGGUAACCUUCAGCAGUGGAGGUUCGCUGGAGCUCACAGAUGUGUCUCUCCUCAGUGAGGAUAGCUCUUUGAAUGUUUGAUCUCAAAUCAGGUAGGACUACCCGCUGAACUUAAGCAUAUCAAUAAGCGGAGGA
This 406-nucleotide unclassified non-coding RNA is filed under the name soil metagenome. RNAcentral's name for it is "partial contains 5.8S ribosomal RNA, internal transcribed spacer 2, and large subunit ribosomal RNA". The stretch from base 1 to 121 matches the Rfam family "5.8S ribosomal RNA", at positions 35 to 154 of the family's 154-position model. The record is from RNAcentral.